RNAcentral lists this ribosomal RNA (1527 nucleotides) under Lactobacillus sp. IV-132. Its description in RNAcentral is "16S ribosomal RNA". It matches the Rfam family "Bacterial small subunit ribosomal RNA". Lineage: Bacteria; Bacillati; Bacillota; Bacilli; Lactobacillales; Lactobacillaceae. The record is from RNAcentral. RNAcentral also lists the same sequence under 1 other name.
GAGUUUGAUCCUGGCUCAGGACGAACGCUGGCGGCGUGCCUAAUACAUGCAAGUCGAACGAACUCUGGUAUUGAUUGGUGCUUGCAUCAUGAUUUACAUUUGAGUGAGUGGCGAACUGGUGAGUAACACGUGGGAAACCUGCCCAGAAGCGGGGGAUAACACCUGGAAACAGAUGCUAAUACCGCAUAACAACUUGGACCGCAUGGUCCGAGYUUGAAAGAUGGCUUCGGCUAUCACUUUUGGAUGGUCCCGCGGCGUAUUAGCUAGAUGGUGGGGUAACGGCUCACCAUGGCAAUGAUACGUAGCCGACCUGAGAGGGUAAUCGGCCACAUUGGGACUGAGACACGGCCCAAACUCCUACGGGAGGCAGCAGUAGGGAAUCUUCCACAAUGGACGAAAGUCUGAUGGAGCAACGCCGCGUGAGUGAAGAAGGGUUUCGGCUCGUAAAACUCUGUUGUUAAAGAAGAACAUAUCUGAGAGUAACUGUUCAGGUAUUGACGGUAUUUAACCAGAAAGCCACGGCUAACUACGUGCCAGCAGCCGCGGUAAUACGUAGGUGGCAAGCGUUGUCCGGAUUUAUUGGGCGUAAAGCGAGCGCAGGCGGUUUUUUAAGUCUGAUGUGAAAGCCUUCGGCUCAACCGAAGAAGUGCAUCGGAAACUGGGAAACUUGAGUGCAGAAGAGGACAGUGGAACUCCAUGUGUAGCGGUGAAAUGCGUAGAUAUAUGGAAGAACACCAGUGGCGAAGGCGGCUGUCUGGUCUGUAACUGACGCUGAGGCUCGAAAGUAUGGGUAGCAAACAGGAUUAGAUACCCUGGUAGUCCAUACCGUAAACGAUGAAUGCUAAGUGUUGGAGGGUUUCCGCCCUUCAGUGCUGCAGCUAACGCAUUAAGCAUUCCGCCUGGGGAGUACGGCCGCAAGGCUGAAACUCAAAGGAAUUGACGGGGGCCCGCACAAGCGGUGGAGCAUGUGGUUUAAUUCGAAGCUACGCGAAGAACCUUACCAGGUCUUGACAUACUAUGCAAAUCUAAGAGAUUAGACGUUCCCUUCGGGGACAUGGAUACAGGUGGUGCAUGGUUGUCGUCAGCUCGUGUCGUGAGAUGUUGGGUUAAGUCCCGCAACGAGCGCAACCCUUAUUAUCAGUUGCCAGCAUUAAGUUGGGCACUCUGGUGAGACUGCCGGUGACAAACCGGAGGAAGGUGGGGAUGACGUCAAAUCAUCAUGCCCCUUAUGACCUGGGCUACACACGUGCUACAAUGGAUGGUACAACGAGUUGCGAACUCGCGAGAGUAAGCUAAUCUCUUAAAGCCAUUCUCAGUUCGGAUUGUAGGCUGCAACUCGCCUACAUGAAGUCGGAAUCGCUAGUAAUCGCGGAUCAGCAUGCCGCGGUGAAUACGUUCCCGGGCCUUGUACACACCGCCCGUCACACCAUGAGAGUUUGUAACACCCAAAGUCGGUGGGGUAACCUUUUAGGAACCAGCCGCCUAAGGUGGGACAGAUGAUUAGGGUGAAGUCGUAACAAGGUAGCC